RNAcentral lists this ribosomal RNA (197 nucleotides) under uncultured Salmonella sp. RNAcentral's name for it is "partial 16S ribosomal RNA". It matches the Rfam family "Bacterial small subunit ribosomal RNA", at positions 335 to 524 of the family's 1533-position model. Lineage: Bacteria; Pseudomonadati; Pseudomonadota; Gammaproteobacteria; Enterobacterales; Enterobacteriaceae. The record is from RNAcentral.
ACUCCUACGGGAGGCAGCAGUGGGGAAUAUUGCACAAUGGGGGAAACCCUGAUGCAGCCAUGCCGCGUGUGUGAAGAAGGCCUUCGGGUUGUAAAGCACUUUCAGCGAGGAGGAAAGGUUGAUGCCUAAUACGUAUCAGCUGUGACGUUACUCGCAGAAGAAGCACCGGCUAACUCCGUGCCAGCAGCCGCGGUAAU